AGUGAACGCUGGCGGUAGGCCUAACACAUGCAAGUCGAACGGCAGCACAGUAAGAGCUUGCUCUUACGGGUGGCGAGUGGCGGACGGGUGAGGAAUACAUCGGAAUCUACUUUUUCGUGGGGGAUAACGUAGGGAAACUUACGCUAAUACUGCAUACGACCUACGGGUGAAAGCAGGGGAUCUUCGGACCUUGCGCGAUUGAAUGAGCCGAUGUCGGAUUAGCUAGUUGGCGGGGUAAAGGCCCAUCAAGGCGACGAUCCGUAGCUGGUCUGAGAGGAUGAUCAGACACACUGGAACUGAGACACGGUCCAGACUCCUACGGGAGGCAGCAGUGGGGAAUAUUGGACAAUGGGCGCAAGCCUGAUCCAGCCAUACCGCGUAGAUGAAGAAGGCCUUCGGGUUGUAAAGCCCUUUUGUUGGGAAAGAAAAGCAGCAGGUUAAUACCCCGCUGUUCUGACGGUACCCAAAGAAUAAGCACCGGCUAACUUCGUG
RNAcentral lists this ribosomal RNA (492 nucleotides) under uncultured bacterium. Its description in RNAcentral is "partial 16S ribosomal RNA". It matches the Rfam family "Bacterial small subunit ribosomal RNA", at positions 29 to 507 of the family's 1533-position model. The record is from RNAcentral.